Molecule: long non-coding RNA, 359 nt
Filed under: Trifolium pratense (red clover)
Lineage: Eukaryota; Viridiplantae; Streptophyta; Magnoliopsida; Fabales; Fabaceae
Description: long non-coding RNA (TPRA_LNC004259)
Source: RNAcentral
GAGGGGCCUUCCCUGGUUUCGGAGGAGCCAUCCCUGGUUUCGGAGGAGCCAUAACAGAUCCAGCAAUCACAGGGUCAACUUCCGGUUUCUUUGUAGCAAACUUAUCAAUCAAGAUAGGUCCCUUCCUUUCUUUAGACGUAACAGGUGUUUCAAUUUCCCCUUUUACAACUUCUCCUUUAUCAUCCUUCAAGAUAACAGACUUUUUAACAGGUGUUUCACCUUGCCCUCUAUCAUCCUUCAAGAUAACAGGCUUUUUAACCAAUGGCGGGGGUGGUGGGCGCGGCGGCGCUAUAGAAGGCCUAGACAGUAAUGUCGGUUGAGGUCUCGAAGGAGGUUGGGGAUUACUAGACUGAGGUGUU